UACGUAGGGGGCAAGCGUUGUCCGGAUUUACUGGGCGUAAAGAGCGCGUAGGCGGAAGUUUAAGCGGCGCUUGAAAGCCCCCGGCUCAACCGGGGAGGGUGGUGCCGAACUGGACUUCUUGAGGGCGAUAGAGGAGAGUGGAAUUCCGGGUGUAGCGGUGAAAUGCGUAGAGAUCCGGAGGAACACCAGUGGCGCAGGCGGCUCACUGGCUCAUUACUGACGCUCAGGCGCGACAGCGUGGGGAUCAAACAGGG
Molecule: ribosomal RNA, 254 nt
Filed under: uncultured bacterium
Lineage: Bacteria
Description: partial 16S ribosomal RNA
Rfam family: Bacterial small subunit ribosomal RNA
Source: RNAcentral